This 379-nucleotide ribosomal RNA is filed under the name uncultured eukaryote. RNAcentral's name for it is "partial 18S ribosomal RNA". It matches the Rfam family "Eukaryotic small subunit ribosomal RNA", at positions 592 to 975 of the family's 1831-position model. The record is from RNAcentral.
CAAUAGCGUAUAUUAAAGUUGUUGCAGUUAAAAAGCUCGUAGUUGGAUUUGUGGUGUACUUCGGCGGCCCGUCACUAUGUGAUGGAGCUUGCUGAAGUCGCCAUCCUUGGGUGGAUCCUGUGUGGCAUUAAGUUGUCGUGCAGGGGAUACCCAUCGUUUACUGUGAAAAAAUUAGAGUGUUCAAAGCAGGCUUAUGCCGUUGAAUAUAUUAGCAUGGAAUAAUAAGAUAGGACCUUGGUACUAUUUUGUUGGUUUGCGCACCAAGGUAAUGAUUAAUAGGGACAGUUGGGGGUAUUCGUAUUUCAUUGUCAGAGGUGAAAUUCUUGGAUUUUUGAAAGACGAACUACUGCGAAAGCAUUUACCAAGGAUGUUUNCAUUA